GAUUUGCAACUUCUUCACAUUCACGCUGAUUAUAAAACCAUAUCCCAUUAACUUCUUGGGAAGCAUUUCGAUACAACAAAUAUGGAAGCUGGAUCUCAUAUUCAAAAUCUCCCAACAGAUCCUCCACCAAAUUAUCUGUAUUUCGGCGGUUCAUAACAAUAAACUGAAACCGAGGUUGAGAACUCCUCUUGACAACAAAUAGAGAUCCUUCGAUAUCCUUCCGACUCCAUUGACUGUUAUCAAUACUGAAUUCGUACAAGGUAACAUGAGCAGCAGUGAUGAGGAUUUCUUCAAUGAAAGGAUCAAUUCUCUGAAGAACCGUCAAGUUUAGCAGCUUCGUGCUGUUCUGGUCCAGAUUCGGCAUCAAUUUCCCGUUUUGCGACAUUAUUGCACCGAAUCUGAGAACGGCAAGUUGCUGUAAGCUGAGACCCAACUUCGACUAUCACAGAAACCCUAGAAAUGCUCCAAAUUGAAGGAAGCCCAGUUUCCUUUUUUUUGGCUCUAUAUAUAUCUGAUGGGAG
RNAcentral lists this unclassified non-coding RNA (521 nucleotides) under Hevea brasiliensis (rubber tree). The record is from RNAcentral. Lineage: Eukaryota; Viridiplantae; Streptophyta; Magnoliopsida; Malpighiales; Euphorbiaceae.